AGUAGGGAAUCUUCCGCAAUGGGCGAAAGCCUGACGGAGCAACGCCGCGUGAGUGAUGAAGGUCUUCGGAUCGUAAAACUCUGUUAUUAGGGAAGAACAUAUGUGUAAGUAACUGUGCACAUCUUGACGGUACCUAAUCAGAAAGCCACGGCUAACUACGUGCCAGCAGCCGCGGUAAUACGUAGGUGGCAAGCGUUAUCCGGAAUUAUUGGGCGUAAAGCGCGCGUAGGCGGUUUUUUAAGUCUGAUGUGAAAGCCCACGGCUCAACCGUGGAGGGUCAUUGGAAACUGGGAAGCUUGAGUGCAGAAGAGGAAAGCGGAAUUCCACGUGUAGCGGUGAAAUGCGUAGAGAUGUGGAGGAACACCAGUGGCGAAGGCGGCUUUCUGGUCUGUAACUGACGCUGAGGCGCGAAAGCGUGGGGAGCAAA
This 427-nucleotide ribosomal RNA is filed under the name Staphylococcus aureus. RNAcentral describes it as "bacterial SSU rRNA". It matches the Rfam family "Bacterial small subunit ribosomal RNA", at positions 353 to 772 of the family's 1533-position model. The record is from RNAcentral. Lineage: Bacteria; Bacillati; Bacillota; Bacilli; Caryophanales; Staphylococcaceae.